RNAcentral lists this ribosomal RNA (467 nucleotides) under uncultured bacterium. RNAcentral's name for it is "partial 16S ribosomal RNA". It matches the Rfam family "Bacterial small subunit ribosomal RNA", at positions 28 to 506 of the family's 1533-position model. The record is from RNAcentral.
GACGAACGCUGGCGGCGUGCUUAACACAUGCAAGUCGAACGGAAAGGCCCUGCUUUUGUGGGGUGCUCGAGUGGCGAACGGGUGAGUAACACGUGAGUAACCUGCCCUUGACUUUGGGAUAACUUCAGGAAACUGGGGCUAAUACCGGAUAGGAGCUCCUGCUGCAUGGUGGGGGUUGGAAAGUUUCGGCGGUUGGGGACGGACUCGCGGCUUAUCAGCUUGUUGGUGGGGUAGUGGCUUACCAAGGCUUUGACGGGUAGCCGGCCUGAGAGGGUGACCGGCCACAUUGGGACGGAGAUACGGCCCAGACUCCUACGGGAGGCAGCAGUGGGGAAUAUUGCACAAUGGGCGGAAGCCUGAUGCAGAAACGCCGCGUGCGGGAUGACGGCCUUCGGGUUGUAAACCGCUUUCGCCUGUGACGAAGCGUGAGGGACGGUAAUGGGUAAAGAAGCACCGGCGAACUACGU